Molecule: ribosomal RNA, 118 nt
Filed under: Triticum aestivum (bread wheat)
Lineage: Eukaryota; Viridiplantae; Streptophyta; Magnoliopsida; Poales; Poaceae
Source: RNAcentral
GGAUGCGAUCAUACCAGCACUAAUGCACUGGAUCCCAUCAGAACUCCGAAGUUAAGCGUGCUUGGCGAGAGUAGUACUAGGAUGUGUGACCUCCUGGGAAGUCCUCGUGUUGCAUUCC